Molecule: long non-coding RNA, 521 nt
Filed under: Mus musculus (house mouse)
Lineage: Eukaryota; Metazoa; Chordata; Mammalia; Rodentia; Muridae
Description: predicted gene, 31036
Source: RNAcentral
GAGCAAGUCUGCCACCCACUGUGAAGAUCGACAGAGGACACACGAGGCAGUAGCCCCACAUAUGGAGGAAGCUCCAGGACUAUGCCUCCAACCAGUGAAAAGUAAUGGAUGUUCCUUGUGACUGUGAUCCCACCCACUGGGUGUUGAAACCCACUUCUUCUGACACUCCUGAAGUUGUCUGUCACGGAGGAAGGGAGCAGCGUCUUGUUCGAAGGCUGCCUACAACUGGCAAUACUGCCCCCUCAGCUUCCUGAAUGCUGGGAUUUCAAGUCAGUGCUGCCACACCUGGCUACCACAUCACUUUUUUUAAAAAAGUCUAUUCUUCUCUGUGAACCCCAUGAAGGCUGAGGUUCAGACCCCAUGAAGCAUUGUUCUGAUGAAAGGAAUCCUUGCUUUAUUUUAUCUGGGGCACUGGGACUCGAACCAGAACCUUACACUAUACAAACUCUACCACUGAGCUCUGCCCCUCAGACCAUUUACUACUGUUUUAUUUUGUUUUGUUAGAUAGGAUCUCAUGUACC